UCUCCCUUCUAGUGUGUCGAGGUAAAACCGUCUCGCGAUAACACCUCCAUUAGGUAAAAAAACAAUUUCCUUCCUCCUCUACGAAGCUAACCUGCCUGGUUGCUCGUCCUCCAGAUCUCUCUCCUCCAUGUCGUCCCUCUCCUCCACAUUCCCCUCCUUUUCUCUCUCCAUGGCCACCGUCGGGCCGUGCCCCUGCCACCAACACGCGCGCGGAUGCAGGCGGGAGGAGGCACUUGGCUUGAGCAGGGCUGGUUUUCGCCGCGCUGCUGCUCCGUCGGCAUGGGUUGUCGUGGUGCUCCCCUCCUCUGCGGCCCGUCACCUGAAGGUCGCUGUUGCCGGUGACGAGGACCAAUGGGAGGUCGGCGCCGCCACGGAUCUGCUCCCCAUUCCCCUCGACGGUCGGUCUCCUGCUCCACUCCUCUCCCUGAUCCCCUUCCCUCUCGUGCAUGCCGCCUCAACUGAUGAUUAGAUGCGCCUUCUCUCCUUCGUGUUUGGUCUGAGCAGUGGAUUGCAGCACUCGUGAUUUAGCUUGUUUCAGGGAUGGAAUGAAUUGGGCAUCAGCAUCUAACACGCACACACAGAGGAUGAUUAUGUUUAUUACGUCAACCAUGUAGAAACCAGAGAGAACUAAACAGCCCACCCUCUGGGUUUGACAUGUGCUGAAGAAAAUACAGUUCUGGUUUUCAGGGAUGUCAUUCAAUAUCCGCUUAAAAUCUCUUGUAUUGUGAUAGCGCCAUGCAACUACCACCUUGCUAUUAAGCUAGAGUGGAAUGUCAUGAUCAAGAGUUCAAGACCGAGAUAUUCUACUGAAAACCAGCUGGCGUCUUUUAGAUGUUGGGCGCCACGAUGAAAAUUGGAUUUGUUUAGUGUCCACAACUCUAGACAUGGAUCUCAUCUACCUCGUUUAUAUGGUAAUGGUUCAAGGGUUAAAUUUCUGUUCUUGGUAAUUUGUUGAGUAUGUCUAUCUAAUGAGCAUUGAAUUUGUAGGUUUUUUGUAUUCUGAUUCAGUUAAGAUAAUUAAAGAAUGAUUGUUACUUCGCCUACUAAUGUGUGGUUCAGUGUAGGGGUAUAUAUGGUACAGCGACAAGUUUGUAGGUGCCGAAUCAGGAUGGAUUAUAAUGGCGCAUAUGCAUUUUAAGUUUCCUCUCGCUUUUGUGUUCAAUCUUCUGCAUUUUUUUACCUACUAGGACCGAUUGAGGUCUAUGAGAUACUUUUUUUGCAGAUCAUCAGAAAGGCCUCCCGGUUCCAUUAUCAUGAAACCACCAAGUUACAGAAGUUCAAGGAUUACAGCAAAAAGAAGCAAACUAGAGUUCAGAUAGCAGGGGAAUGAAAAGCUACAGGUCCAAGGCCUGGCCAAAAACACAAAGCCAGUAACGUUUGGGUAGGAACUACAUUUUAAUUUCUUUGGAAAGUGCUUUCACUGCUUCUAAUAUCUAAUUCCAAAAGAAAGGCACUGAGUCAGCAAUUACCGAGUCAGCAAUUACUGACGUGCUCUAAACUGUUAACAAAUUUAUUCUAUGGAGAAAAGUGACAAGUCUAAAACAGAGAAUGAUCUUUUUGGGUACAAGAGAGUUCUUGUGGAUGAAACUCAUCUGGUUUCUAUUGGUCGCCUUCCAGUUAUGGUUAAUUCAAAAUUAUGUUGGUUGCAUGGACUCAGGGAAAGUGACUGCCUUUUUUAUUCUGGUGGACACUUUUUGUCAGGGGAAUGGAGAAGGUAUUAUUCUACUGCUCUCUCUUAAUUUAAUUAAUGUAUCAUGUAAGGAUGUUGCAUUAUCAAAUGUUUUAAACACUUCUUUUGUCACUAAUAUGGAGUACAGAGCUGUGAGAUUUCUUAGUUUUGAAUUGAACUUUUUAUAUAUAUGUCACUAAGCCCAAAUGCCCUUAUAAAGCAUUAGUGCAAAUGCUACGGGAAUUAUUAUGAGCAAUUCUAAUACAUACACACGGAGUGCUAACAAAAGAGUAGACUGGUACCCUAGAAAAAAGAGUUUACAUGAGUUCUGUGUGAAUUGGUCUACUUACAUAUGUUGAACUCUUGUGUGUUAUCCCUGGUAUGCAAAUAUGAUCUCAGUAAGCUACAAUAUGUUAUUAUAACCACAUGAUAAAAUUAUGCCGAACUAGCUAAAUAGUACCUUUUUGCUGGUUCAUAUAAAGUCUAUUUUAUUGUCAGUUGUGACAGUUCAAACAGAUACAUGUAUUAUUUAUUUAGUUGGAUCUGGCUUAGCAGCAUAUGUGUUGCAGCAAUGAGGGAUCGUGAAAAGCAUAAAUGGUGCAGACAAUGUUAUACAAAUAUGCAUGCAUCGGAAGGCUGGUUAGCGACAGAUCUGUAGUACUGAUUGCUCUCUGUUUGAGAUAUCAAACAUUUCAUUCCUCGUGUUGUUUUGAUGCCGAUGCUUGACUUAUGUGGUUGCAUAUCGACUUGCGAUAUGUUGAGCAGAUCACUGUCUCAAGGAAUGAUCAAUUAGACAAGUGUGUUUCCACCAAAAGUAAGUUGAGAUUUAUUUCUGUUCAUCUUGGUUGUAUUUAAAAUAAGAUUUUGGCAACAAUACGUAGUAUCUCUAAGUGAGGUAUUAGUUAAUGAUCAAUAAAUAAUCAGUUUGAUUUUAUUUUAACAAAUAAAGGCAUACAACUUUAUAUAUAUUCUGAAGCAGAAAAGCAAGAGUUGAGUUAUCAAUAUGCCUAAGGUUCAAGGUCACAAUAAUUCUUAUUUACAUGAGAAUAGAAGACAUGAGAUAUUUACCAUAACUCUAGACCUUUCCCACAAAUAAUAAUAAUGGUGUAAUACUGCAUAGGAGGAAGCCGUUUGGGCCUUUUACUGAUGGAUAUAUUUCUUACUUUUGUUCCUCACCAAUAAUCUCAGGAGAGGCAAGGUCGCUCGACUAGAUCAUGAAGACACUUUAGAUGGAGGCCUGAUCGUCGCUGCUCCUCUGGUUGUUGCAGUUUUAAGGGCUUAGACAGAUCGUCUGUAACUGGGGAGCUCUCUUCUCUAUUUGCCAAUGUCUUCUACUUUAUUAAUAGAAGCUGUCAUUCAUCGCCUGUAGAUAGAUCGUCAACGACCGCCGUCACCUGUCAGAGCCAUUAACUCAACCUUACCCUGUGAGGAACUGUACCUCCACUUUUGGACAGAAUGUAUGCCAUUAUCAAAACCGUGUCCCCUUCAUUUUGAACCAUCUAGCAUAUGUAUAAUGUAUAAUGCAUGGUUUAACCAGCUAUACAACUGAUUGCUACUUAUCCAAAUUGAAUCUGCUUUCAGCUCUAA
Triticum urartu is the source of this 3256-nucleotide non-coding RNA. The record is from RefSeq and is a predicted model, not a curated record. NCBI's taxonomy places the organism in Eukaryota, Viridiplantae, Streptophyta, Magnoliopsida, Poales, Poaceae.